Molecule: ribosomal RNA, 403 nt
Filed under: Verrucomicrobiota bacterium
Lineage: Bacteria; Pseudomonadati; Verrucomicrobiota
Description: Verrucomicrobia bacterium partial 16S ribosomal RNA
Rfam family: Bacterial small subunit ribosomal RNA
Source: RNAcentral
UGGGGAAUAUUGCACAAUGGGGGAAACCCUGAUGCAGCGACGCCGCGUGAGCGAAGAAGGUUUUCGAAUCGUAAAGCUCUGUCCUAUGAGAAGAUAAUGACGGUAUCAUAGGAGGAAGCCCCGGCUAAAUACGUGCCAGCAGCCGCGGUAAUACGUAUGGGGCGAGCGUUGUCCGGAAUCACUGGGCGUAAAGGGUUCGCAGGCGGAAAUGCAAGUCAGGUGUAAAAGGCAGUAGCUUAACUACUGUAAGCAUUUGAAACUGCAUAUCUUGAGAAGAGUAGAGGUAAGUGGAAUUUUUAGUGUAGCGGUGAAAUGCGUAGAUAUUAAAAAGAAUACCGGUGGCGAAGGCGACUUACUGGGCUCAUUCUGACGCUGAGGAACGAAAGCGUGGGUAGCAAACAGG